RNAcentral lists this ribosomal RNA (505 nucleotides) under uncultured bacterium. Its description in RNAcentral is "partial 16S ribosomal RNA". It matches the Rfam family "Bacterial small subunit ribosomal RNA", at positions 28 to 507 of the family's 1533-position model. The record is from RNAcentral.
GACGAACGCUGGCGGCGUGCCUAAUACAUGCAAGUGGGACGCAAGGAAACACACUGUGCUUGCACACCGUGUUUUCUUGAGUCGCGAACGGGUGAGUAACGCGUAGGUAACCUGCCUAUUAGCUGGGGAUAACUAUUGGAAACGAUAGCUAAUACCGCAUAAUAUUAAUUAUUGCAUGAUAAUUGAUUGAAAGAUGCAAGCGCAUCACUAGUAGUUGGACCUGCGUUGUAUUAGCUAGUUGGUAAGGUAAGAGCUUACCAAGGCGAGGAUACAUAGCCGACAUGAGAGGGUGAUCGGCCGGACUGGGAGUGAGACACGGCCCAGACUGCUACGGGAGGCAGCAGUAGGGAAUCUGCGGCAAUGGACGAAAGUCUGACCGAGCAACGCCGCGUGAGUGAAGAGGGAUUUCGGAUCGUAAAGCUCUGUUGUAAGGCAAGAACGUGUGUGAGAGUGGAAAGUUCACACAGUGACGGUAGCUUACCAGAAAGGGACGGCUAACUACGUG